AAGCCAGAGUUGCUGGAGUCGAGAAGACCGUGGCCACCGUCGGAACCUGCAAGGGAAGUCUAAACCCAAGAUGGGGGUGCUCCAGCAAGACCCUCCGAUGCUCAAGUCAGUACUCUGCUUUAACAGAAAUGGAGUGCUCGAGCAAAAAUUUUGGCAGAAUUUCGAGAUAGAGUUUUUUAAGCUUAGAAAAGAAUGUAUCUGGGGAUCCUUAUUUAUAGGC
Molecule: long non-coding RNA, 220 nt
Filed under: Elaeis guineensis (African oil palm)
Lineage: Eukaryota; Viridiplantae; Streptophyta; Magnoliopsida; Arecales; Arecaceae
Description: long non-coding RNA (EGUI_LNC044179)
Source: RNAcentral